ACGGGAGGCAGCAGUGGGGGAUAUUGCACAAUGGGGGAAACCCUGAUGCAGCGACGCCGCGUGAGUGAUGAAGUAUUUCGGUAUGUAAAGCUCUAUCGGCAGGGAAGAUAAUGACGGUACCUGACUAAGAAGCCCCGGCUAACUACGUGCCAGCAGCCGCGGUAAUACGGAGGAUGCAAGCGUUAUCCGGAUUUAUUGGGUUUAAAGGGUGCGUAGGCGGACGCGUAAGUCAGCGGUGAAAUAUCCCGGCUCAACCGGGAGGCUGCCGUUGAUACUGCGCGACUCGAGUCCAAACGGCGCCGGCGGAAUAUGUAAUGUAGCGGUGAAAUGCAUAGAUAUUACAUAGAACACCGAUCGCGAAGGCAGCUGGCGAGGAUGGCACUGACGCUGAGGCACGAAGGCGUGGGGAUCAAACAGGAUUAGAUACCCUGGUA
This 434-nucleotide ribosomal RNA is filed under the name uncultured Lachnospiraceae bacterium. Its description in RNAcentral is "partial 16S ribosomal RNA". It matches the Rfam family "Bacterial small subunit ribosomal RNA", at positions 341 to 792 of the family's 1533-position model. The record is from RNAcentral. Lineage: Bacteria; Bacillati; Bacillota; Clostridia; Lachnospirales; Lachnospiraceae.